AGGAGGAACAACCCCAGUGGGUUGCUGCAGCUCUGGAAACCUGGAUUCAGCUCCCGCAGGAACUACUCGGUCUGCAGGGCCUGGAGGCUCCGGGGCGGG
RNAcentral lists this microRNA precursor (99 nucleotides) under Canis lupus familiaris (dog). RNAcentral describes it as "mir-8834 microRNA precursor family". It matches the Rfam family "mir-8834 microRNA precursor family". RNAcentral also lists the same sequence under 1 other name. The record is from Rfam by way of RNAcentral. Lineage: Eukaryota; Metazoa; Chordata; Mammalia; Carnivora; Canidae.